GCCGGCCUGUGAUUGGCGGAGGCCGCAGUGAAUGCGGGACAUUGUCUGGCCGCGGCCUCGGUCCGGCCGGCCGCCCGCCCUCCGCGUGGAAGGCUGCCCGCGGCCCGCGUCCUUCCAGCGGAGGGAACGCCUGGUGCGAAAACGUUACUCUUGGGAGAUCACGGAUUCUGAGAACGGCCCGCAAAGGUGCCGUUUCUAAACACAGAAUCGCCCUCAACAGGGAAAUGAAAUGAUACGGUUUCCUUUAAACUGAGAGGAAAAAUACUGAGGUAAUUGAAAAGGACCAACUGUCAUAAAAGCGGCAGAGUGAGAGCCCUCAAGACUCCUUUCAUUGGGGUCCAUGACGGUCCUUCUGAGUGUCCUCUGUAAGAUUUAAAGUAAAAAUAACCAUGCGUCUCCCCCUUCGUUUCCGUGUGUGUGAAGAAGGCGCUAGACUGGUUAGCUCUCCAGGCUCGCCCCGUCGUCAGGCGCUGUUUCUCUCCGAUUCUAGACUUCCAGUCUCCAGGCAGCCUGUGUGUUGGGUCAUACCUCAAGGCCCUGGAACAGAUGAAACCUUUUCAACCGCCUCGAGGAGGUAAUGGACCAUUACGAGAAAGCAUAAGCGUCCUCCCCAUUUUGUUGCCAACAUCAAAAGAGCAGAAAGAUGGUAAAACGGAAGACACACCUGAAAUAAGAGGCACGUGGAAAAUGUUUGGAAAGUUUUGAAGAAAAUUAACUUGGUAUUUGCUUUUCAAGAAACUAGAUAGGAAAAAAUUAUUGUAAAGUUAAAAGCAGAGAGUGUUGAA
This 785-nucleotide long non-coding RNA is filed under the name Microcebus murinus (gray mouse lemur). Its description in RNAcentral is "lncRNA (ENSMICG00000048274.1)". The record is from RNAcentral. Lineage: Eukaryota; Metazoa; Chordata; Mammalia; Primates; Cheirogaleidae.